Molecule: long non-coding RNA, 1341 nt
Filed under: Homo sapiens (human)
Lineage: Eukaryota; Metazoa; Chordata; Mammalia; Primates; Hominidae
Description: HSALNT0367625
Source: RNAcentral
GAUUUUAUAAGAAGAUGUUUCCUUUUCUACCAUAGGCCUCAAAGCGCUAGAAAUCUCCAGCUGCAAAUUCCACAAAAAGUGUGUUUAACAUCCGCUCUGUCUAAAGUAAAGUUCAGCUCUGUGAGUUGAAUACACACAGCACAAAGAAGUUACUGAGACUUCUUCUGUCUAACAUUAUAUGAAGAAAUCCCUUUUCCAACGAAGGCCUCAAAGAGGUCCAAAUAUCCACUUGCAGACGUGACAAACAGAGUGUUUCCAAACUACUGCAUCAAAAGAAAGGUUAAACUCUGUGAGUUGAACACACACAUCACAAAGUAGUUUCUGUGAAUGAUUCUGUCUAGUUUUUAUACGAAGAUGUUUCCUUUUCUACCUUUGGUCUCAAAGCGAUUGAAAUCUCCACAUGGAAACUCCACAAAAAGAGUGUUUCAAAUCUGCUCUUUCUGAAGGAAGGUUCAACUCUGUGAGUUGAAUACACACACCACAAAUAAGUUACUGAGAAUUCUUCUGUGUAACAUUAUAUGAGGAAAUCCCGUUUCCAACGAAGGCCUCAAAGAGGUCCAAAUAUCUGCUUGCAGACUUUACAGACAGAGUGUUUCCAAACUGCUCCAUCAAAAGAAAGGUUAAACUCUGUGAGCUGAACACUCACAUCAAAAAGUAGUUUCUGUGUAUGAUUCUGUCUAGUUUUUAUACGAAGAUGUUUCCUUUUCUACCUUUGGUCUCAAAGCGAUUGAAAUCUCCACAUGGAAACUCCACAAAAAGAGUGUUUCAAAUCUGCUCUUUCAGAAGGAAGGUUCAACUCUGUGAGUUGAAUACACACACCACAAAUAAGUUACUGAGAAUUCUUCUGUGUAACAUUAUAUGAGGAAAUCCCGUUUCCAACGAAGGCCUCAAAGAGUUCCAAAUAUCCACUUGCAGACAUUACAAAGACAGUGUCUCCAAACUCCUCCAUCAAAAGAAAGGUUAUACUCUGUGAAUUGAACGCACACAUCACAAAGCAGUUUCUGAGAAUGAUUCUGUCUAGUUUUUAUACGAAGAUAUUUCCUUUUCUACAUUUGGCCUAAAAGCGCUUGAAAUCUGCACCUGCAAAUGUCACAAAAAGAGGGUUUCACAUCUGCUCUGUCGAAAGGACAGUUCACCUCUGUGAGUUGAAUAGAGGCAACACUAAGAAGUUACUGAGUAUUCUUCUUUCUAGCGUUAUAUGAAGAAAUCCCGUUUCCAACGAAGGCCUGAAAGAGGUCCAAAUAUCUGCUUGAACACUUUACAGACAGAGUGUUUCCAAACUACUCUAUAAAAAGAAAGCUUAAACUCCGUGAGUUGAACGCACACAUCACAAUGUAGUUU